RNAcentral lists this ribosomal RNA (434 nucleotides) under uncultured bacterium. RNAcentral's name for it is "partial 16S ribosomal RNA". It matches the Rfam family "Bacterial small subunit ribosomal RNA", at positions 29 to 507 of the family's 1533-position model. The record is from RNAcentral.
AGCGAACGCUGGCGGCAGGCCUAACACAUGCAAGUCGAACGAACCUUUCGGGGUUAGUGGCGGACGGGUGAGGAACACGUGGGAACGUGCCUUUAGGUUCGGAAUAACUCAGGGAAACUUGUGCUAAUACCGAAUGUGCCCUUCUGGGGAAAGAUUUAUCGCCUUUAGAGCGGCCCGCGUCUGAUUAGCUAGUUGGUUGAGGUAAUGGCUCACCAAGGCGACGAUCAGUAGCUGGUCUGAGAGGAUGAUCAGACACAUUGGGACUGAGACACGGCCCAAACUCCUACGGGAGGCAGCAGUGGGGAAUCUUGCGCAAUGGGCGAAAGCCUGACGCAGCCAUGCCGCGUGAAUGAUGAAGGUCUUAGGAUUGUAAAAUUCUUUCACCGGGGACGAUAAUGACGGUACCCGGAGAAGAAGCCCCGGCUAACUUCGUG